CAGUAGCCGCGGUAAUACGUAGGGUGCAAGCGUUAAUCGGAAUUACUGGGCGUAAAGCGUGCGCAGGCGGUGUUGUAAGACUGAUGUGAAAUCCCCGGGCUCAACCUGGGAACUGCAUUGGUGACUGCAACGCUGGAGUGCGGCAGAGGGGGAUGGAAUUCCGCGUGUAGCAGUGAAAUGCGUAGAUAUGCGGAGGAACACCGAUGGCGGAGGCAAUCCCCUGGGCCUGCACUGACGCUCAUGCACGAAAGCGUGGGGAGCAAACAGGAUUAGAUACCCGCGUAGUCCCUGUCUCUUAUAC
This 301-nucleotide ribosomal RNA is filed under the name uncultured bacterium. Its description in RNAcentral is "partial 16S ribosomal RNA". It matches the Rfam family "Bacterial small subunit ribosomal RNA", at positions 509 to 807 of the family's 1533-position model. The record is from RNAcentral.